Molecule: ribosomal RNA, 417 nt
Filed under: uncultured bacterium
Lineage: Bacteria
Description: bacterial SSU rRNA
Rfam family: Bacterial small subunit ribosomal RNA
Source: RNAcentral
AAUGAACGCUGGCGGCGCGCCUAAUACAUGCAAGUCGAGCGAGAAGACGUAGCAAUACGUUUGUAAAGCGGCGAACGGGUGAGGAAUACAUGGGUAACCUACCCUCGAGUGGGGAAUAACUAGCCGAAAGGUUAGCUAAUACCGCGUACGCUUCUUGGACUUCGGUUCAGGGAGGAAAGCGAUGCCGAGGGUAUCGCGCUCUUGGAUGGGCUCAUGUCCUAUCAGCUUGUUGGGAGGUAACGGCUCACCAAGGCUUCGACGGGUAGCUGGUCUGAGAGGACGAUCAGCCACACUGGCACUGCGACACGGGCCAGACUCCUACGGGAGGCAGCAGUAAGGAAUAUUGCGCAAUGGGCGAAAGCCUGACGCAGCGACGCCGCGUGGGGGAUGAAGGUCUUCGGAUUGUAAACCCCUUUC